This 421-nucleotide ribosomal RNA is filed under the name uncultured bacterium. Its description in RNAcentral is "partial 16S ribosomal RNA". It matches the Rfam family "Bacterial small subunit ribosomal RNA", at positions 361 to 774 of the family's 1533-position model. The record is from RNAcentral.
AUAUUGGACAAUGGGGGCAACCCUGAUCCAGCCAUGCCGCGUGUGUGAAGAAGGUCUUCGGAUUGUAAAGCAAUUUAAGGUGGGAGGAAGGGCUUUAGGUUAAUACCCUGAAGUUUUGACGUUACCAAAAGAAGAAACACAGGCUAACUCUGUGCCAGCCGCCGUGGUAAUACAGAGGGGGCAAGCGUUAAUCGGAAUUCCUGGCCGUAAAGCGCGCGUAGGUGGUUCAGUAAGAUGGGUGUUAAAGCCCCGGGCUUAACCUGGGAACUGCUUUCAUAACUGCUGAGCUAGAGUACGGUAGAGGGUAGUGGAAUUUCCUGUGUAGCGGUGAAAUGCGUAGAUAUAGGAAGGAACACCAGUGGCGAAGGCGACUACCUGGACUGAUACUGACACUGAGGUGCGAAAGCGUGGGGAGCAAACA